RNAcentral lists this ribosomal RNA (508 nucleotides) under uncultured bacterium. RNAcentral's name for it is "partial 16S ribosomal RNA". It matches the Rfam family "Bacterial small subunit ribosomal RNA", at positions 28 to 523 of the family's 1533-position model. The record is from RNAcentral.
GAUGAACGCUAGCUACAGGCUUAACACAUGCAAGUCGAGGGGAAACGACAUCGAAAGCUUGCUUUUGAUGGGCGUCGACCGGCGCACGGGUGAGUAACGCGUAUCCACCCUGCCCACCACUUGGGGAUAACUUUGCGAAAGUAAGACUAAUACCCAAUGACGUCUCUAGAAGACAUCUGAAAGAGAUUAAAGAUUUAUCGGUGAUGGAUGGGGAUGCGUCUGAUUAGCUUGUUGGCGGGGUAACGGCCCACCAAGGCGACGAUCAGUAGGGGUUCUGAGAGGAAGGUCCCCCACAUUGGAACUGAGACACGGUCCAAACACCUACGGGAGGCAGCAGUGAGGAAUGUUGGUGAAUGGACGAGUGUCUGAACCAGCCAAGUAGCGUGCAGGAUGACGGCCCUAUGGGUUGUAAACUGCUUUUAUAAGGGAAUAAAGUGAGAGUCGUGACUCGUUUUGCAUGUACCUUAUGAAUAAGGACCGGCUAAUUCCGUGCCAGCCGCCGCCGUAA